AACGCGAAGAACCUUACCUGGGCUCGAAAUGUAGUGGACCGGAGUAGAAAUAUUCCUUCUCAGCAAUGGGCCGCUAUAUAGGUGCUGCAUGGCUGUCGUCAGCUCGUGUCGUGAGAUGUUGGGUUAAGUCCCGCAACGAGCGCAACCCUCGUCCUAUGUUGCCAGCGGGUAAUGCCGGGGACUCAUAGGAGACUGCCGGGGUCAACUCGGAGGAAGGUGGGGAUGACGUCAAGUCCUCAUGCCCCUUAUGUCUUGGGCUGCAAACAUGCUACAAUGGCCGGUACAAAGGGUUGCGAGACCGCAAGGUGGAGCGAAUCCCAAAAAGCCGGUCUCAGUUCGGAUUGGGGUCUGCAACUCGACCCCAUGAAGUCGGAGUCGCUAGUAAUCGCAGAUCAGCAACGCUGCGGUGAAUACGUUCCCGGGCCUUGUACACACCGAGUAUA
This 443-nucleotide ribosomal RNA is filed under the name uncultured bacterium. RNAcentral describes it as "bacterial SSU rRNA". It matches the Rfam family "Bacterial small subunit ribosomal RNA", at positions 958 to 1398 of the family's 1533-position model. The record is from RNAcentral.